RNAcentral lists this ribosomal RNA (476 nucleotides) under Brettanomyces bruxellensis. RNAcentral describes it as "eukaryotic LSU rRNA". It matches the Rfam family "Eukaryotic large subunit ribosomal RNA", at positions 132 to 611 of the family's 3401-position model. The record is from RNAcentral. Lineage: Eukaryota; Fungi; Ascomycota; Pichiomycetes; Pichiales; Pichiaceae.
GGGCAACCGAGUUGUAAUUUGGAGACGGGACACUAGAGAGGAGGAAGGCGAUUAAGUGCCUUGGAACAGGCUGCCGUAGAGGGUGAGAGCCCCGUGAAUCGCUGGAGACCGAUCGAUUAGUGCCCGCCGAAGAGUCGAGUUGUUUGGGAAUGCAGCUCUAAGCGGGUGGUAUAUUCCAUCUAAGGCUAAAUAUUAGCGAGAGACCGAUAGCAAACAAGUACAGUGAUGGAAAGAUGAAAAGAACUUUGGAAAGAGAGUGAAAUAGUACGUGAAAUUGUUGAAAGGGAAGGGUAUUUGAUCCGACAUGGUGUUUAGCAGCGGCCCGUUCCUCGUGGAUGGGUGCACCUGGUUUACACUGGGCCAGCAUCGGUUCUGGGAGCCAUAUACGGGGUUCGUGAAUGUGGCCCUUCGAUUCUGUCGGAGGGUGUUAUAGCGCGGGCAUCUUGUGGCUAGCCGGGACCGGGGACUGCGGUGGC